RNAcentral lists this non-coding RNA (26 nucleotides) under Homo sapiens (human). Lineage: Eukaryota; Metazoa; Chordata; Mammalia; Primates; Hominidae. The record is from RNAcentral.
CCCAGGUAUGCAUGACCAUUGAGGGC